GAGGAGUCCGGAGCGAUGAAAGAAUGCGAAUUGUGCUGUGAAAUGGUGCCGGCCGGAGCAUUUUGUCAACUCAUUAAUUGUCGGCACGUGUAUUGCCGGAUUUGUAUUCGAAAGGUAGAGAAAUUGCCGGAAAAUUCAAAUUUUUUAGACAUUUUUGGUAUUUUUCAGUACAUGGAGCUAUCGAUUCUCGGAAAUCGUGUCGAAAUUCCGUGUCCCGGCGGAUGUCCGGCGGUUAUUCAUCCGAAUGACGUCACGUGAGUACUGUAGGGGUACUGUAGAUCUAUUGGAUACGGUAGGGUUACUGUAGGGAUACCGUUGGGGUUACUGUAGGGGUACUGUAAAGUCUAGUGGAGUACUGUAGGGGUACUGUAGAAUAUUGAAGGGUUGUUGUAGGUUACUGUAGAUCUAUAAGAUAUAGUGGGAUACUGUAGGAAUACUAUAGGGCUACUGUAGGGCAUGGUCGGGUUACUGUAGAUUUCAGUGCAGUAAUUCAUCGCUACUACAGGAUUACUGUAGGGCUACUGAAGAUUACGGUUGGAGUACUGUAGAUUGUAGGAUACUGGAGGAUUACGGUAGGGUUACUGUAGAUCGAUCGUAGGAUUCUAAAGAUUACCGUACAUCUGUUCUAGGAUACUUCGGAUUACUGUAGCCAAAUCCUAAGAUUCUAAAGGUUACUGUACCUCAAUCCUAGGAUACUUCGGGUUACUGUAGAUCGAUCCUGGGAUACUUCGCGUUACUGUAGAUCAAUUCUGGGUUACUGUAGGUUACUAUAGAUCUGUUCUAGGAUACGUUGGGUUACUGUAGUUCAAUCCUAGGCUUCUAUAGGUUGCUGUAGAUCGAUCCUAGGAUUCUGAAGACUACUGUAGAUCAACCAUAGACACUUCGGGUUACUGUAGAUCGAUCCUAGGACACUUCGGGUUACUGUACCCCAAUCCUAGGCACUUUAGGUUACUGUAGAUCAACUCUAGGAAUUUUGAGGUUACUGUAGCUCGAUCCUAGGACACUUCGGGUUACUGUAGAACAAUCCUGGGAUUCUAGGGGUUACUGUAACUCAAUCCUAUGAUACCUCGGGUUACUGUAACUAACUUCUGGGGUACUGUAGGGUUACUGUAACUCAAUCCAAGGAUAUUUCGGGUUACUGUAGAUCAAUUCUGGGGUACUGUAGGGUUACUGUAGCUCCAUUUUCCAGACGCUACCUGCUCCCAAACACGGACCUAAUCUCCAAAUACGAGUCAUUCAGCAUUCGAAUGGCCCUUUGCCGAAUCCAGGAUGUUCGAUGGUGCCCCGCACCGGAUUGCGGGUCAGUUUUGAUAUGCAAUCGCGCUCCACUGAACACAUUUUUUUGCAGAUUUGCCGUAAUCGUGCCCAAUGGUCAAAAGUGUCCGCGUAUCAAGUGCCAGCGGCCGGGCUGUGGCCGGGAAUUUUGCUUCAAGUGCCGAAAAGUGUGGCAUGAGGGAACCAGGACGUGCUCCAAGACUUUUGAACAGUUGAAGAAGAUUACGGAGAAUGG
Molecule: small RNA, 1510 nt
Filed under: Caenorhabditis elegans
Lineage: Eukaryota; Metazoa; Nematoda; Chromadorea; Rhabditida; Rhabditidae
Description: Unclassified non-coding RNA Y49F6B.22
Source: RNAcentral